This 73-nucleotide transfer RNA is filed under the name Fukomys damarensis (Damara mole-rat). It matches the Rfam family "tRNA". Rfam says of the family: Transfer RNA (tRNA) molecules are approximately 80 nucleotides in length. Their secondary structure includes four short double-helical elements and three loops (D, anti-codon, and T loops). Lineage: Eukaryota; Metazoa; Chordata; Mammalia; Rodentia; Bathyergidae. The record is from Rfam by way of RNAcentral.
GGGGCUGUAGCUCAGUGGUAGAGCACUUGUCUACCCAGAGCACUUAAGGCUGUAGGUUCAAACCCCAGCACCA